Megalopta genalis is the source of this 2192-nucleotide non-coding RNA. NCBI's taxonomy places the organism in Eukaryota, Metazoa, Arthropoda, Insecta, Hymenoptera, Halictidae. The record is from RefSeq and is a predicted model, not a curated record.
CAGUGACGCUCAAGCUCGCGCGCUUACCGAUCGCCCGGCCGCGAUAAGGAAUGUUUCUUUUUUUAUCGCCGUGUCUUUUUCUUUCCGCGUUACCGGCCUCCCCACGGGAUUACUUCGGCUUUAUUGCUUUUAAUUACUUGACACGGGUUGGAAACCGCGCGCGCAGAACCCGCGGCAAUCGCCAAGGAGGUGUUGAUGCUUGGCUGGAUACGCCUGGGGCGGCGCGCUGCCGGCAACCUGCGGCUCACUUUUCUUAGACACCGCCACGAUGUCGGAAUAACUUUUCAAUUUAUUUCAUUAAGAUUCUACUUUUGCUUCGCCCGCGACACCGCCGAACGCCAGCUCGAUCCUUCGAGCGCGUCGAUCUCCCGUCGCGGUUCCUUCGGAAACGUUCUUUGGAAAUGUCCGGCUACGCGGUACAGGCUCUCGUUGGCGGGCGUAACUAUUCACGUAAAUUGUUGGAGUAAUAUUAAUCGACUAGGUUGACAAAUUAGGACCUGUUCGAGGCCGCAGUUUAAGGACCUUCGCGAUUUUGAAGUGGUACGUGCAGUAUCCAUCGCGGCGACUGCCAAUUGGACGAAGAUUCGACGGAAUUACAAUGGCAAUGCAAAUAAACCUGGAAUAUAAUCGCGCCACCUUAUCAGCGCGCAGAGAUUCCACGCACGUACGUACGGAGAACAUCCUGAGCCCGAAAUGAGUGAACGAAACGAGCGGAAAGAGACAAGAGAAGAAUCUUUGCAUUUAACUUCAGCAUUUCGCGAUUGAACGAACAGAAGGAGAAAGAGGCGUACAUCUGAAUGGCGUACAUUAAAUCUGCGGUUGACAAACUCUGAGCGAUAGACGGAAUGGAAACAGAAUCGUUAAUCUUCGGACAAUUACGGCCGGUUGAUGGCGGCGCGACUCGAUCCCGCGAUCCACAGUCCUCUCGAUCCACCCGCCACGAAGAGGGAACGUCCAGUUCGCUCGAAGGCCGACACUGCUCGCGGGCUAAUAUCAUGGUUGAGCGACAACCGGCUAAUUCUUGCUUGGGGCCAAUUCCGGCCGCGUCCUUGGGUGUGCUUUUGCCGGUUUAAUAAUGCAGUGCGCCACUGUGUCAGUGUGCCAAUUCCUCCCUGGGCAGCCGUGGCAUGGCGACAAGUCGCCGCGAUGCAGUCUUUCCGCCUGAAACUUUCAUCGCCAGCCGACAUCCCUUAUUUAGUCGCGACGGUGACAGGACUUCGAAUAAGAGUACAGGAUUUCAGGCAGCUGAAUCUUGGGAGUGUCGGGACAUUUGCGAGCCUCGCAAAAUCGGAUCGCGGCGAGCCGAGUAAAAUGGAGGGGGGAGGUGGGGCGACGGAUAAAGAGAUAUCAACGCGGAUUUACUUGGUAUAUCCCGCCAGCAGCGGGAAACGCUGCUCGCAGCUCUCGAUCCGGUCGUCUCAAGGAUGGAAGGAUCCUCCGCAGAUAUUCACCUUCGAAUCCUGAAGAAACGAACGAGCCGGCGCAGCGCCGAACUCGAUCGCCAUAAUUUACGACGUCGAUGUACCGAGAGAACGUUAUCAUGCGAUUCUGAUCAGCGGCAGGAGACUUCGACCCCGCGAUACAAAAAACCAUUCCGAGAUCUCUCGUCGAGGUCGUUACUCGAACUCGCCGAGUAAUGAGGGACUAUCGAAACCGAAGACAAAGUCGCCCAAGACUCGUUGCGCGUGUUUUCUGCGCUGAUCAUUCAUUAGUUAACGGCGCGAUUCGACGGGAACCGCGAGCAAGGGAGCCGCCGGAAAACGAUGCCGCAUUCCCGUGGAAUUCGUUCGAUUGACCAGACUCGCGUUUCUUUGCUCGUUCGCUUCUUUCUUGCAGCCGCUUUCAUUUAGUGUCUUGAUAUCAACGUCUAUGUAACAACGCGAUGACCUCAUCGCGGAAGUUUGCGGAGGUGUGACGCGUUCAACGAAUAUGCAAAUUGUACGCUGGAAGCAUGGAACGUUUACAACAUAUACAGAAAUGCACGCUACGGCGCGGAAGACUUUUUUCAUAUUUUUACGGUAGGUACAGGGUCCCGCGAAACUGAUCACGCACUAUUUAGAACGGGAAAACUUGAUCAAAGUUGUAGAUCUUUGAAAUGUUAGAGACGCCAGUUCACUAGACAACGUCGACAAAUUUCUUUUUAAAAGCUUCAAUCACUUGGAAAAUAAUCACGUUUUUUAAAACUAUUUUUA